GGUGGCUCAGUGGUAGAGCGCUUGCCUUUCAUGCAUGAGGUCCUGGGUUCGAUUCCUUAGCACCA
This 65-nucleotide transfer RNA is filed under the name Dipodomys ordii (Ord's kangaroo rat). It matches the Rfam family "tRNA". Rfam says of the family: Transfer RNA (tRNA) molecules are approximately 80 nucleotides in length. The record is from Rfam by way of RNAcentral. Lineage: Eukaryota; Metazoa; Chordata; Mammalia; Rodentia; Heteromyidae.